AACGAACGCUGGCGGCAGGCCUAACACAUGCAAGUCGAACGAUGUAGCAAUACAUAGUGGCGCACGGGUGAGUAACGCGUGGGAAUGUACCAUUUGGUGGGGAAUAACUCCGGGAAACUGGAGCUAAUACCGCAUACGCCCUUCGGGGGAAAGAUUUAUCGCCAAAUGAUCAGCCCGCGUGAGAUUAGAUAGUUGGUGGGGUAAUGGCCUACCAAGUCUACGAUCUCUAGCUGGUCUCAGAGGAUGAUCAGCCACACUGGAACUGAGACACGGUCCAGACUCCUACGGGAGGCAGCAGUGGGGAAUAUUGGGCAAUGGGCGCAAGCCUGACCCAGCCAUGCCGCGUGAGUGAUGAAGGCUCUAGGGUUGUAAAGCUCUUUCGCCGAUGAAGAAAAUGACGGUAGUCGGAGAAGAAGCCCCGGCUAACUUCGUGCCAGCCGCCGCGGUAA
RNAcentral lists this ribosomal RNA (449 nucleotides) under uncultured bacterium. Its description in RNAcentral is "partial 16S ribosomal RNA". It matches the Rfam family "Bacterial small subunit ribosomal RNA", at positions 29 to 523 of the family's 1533-position model. The record is from RNAcentral.